UACGUAGGGGGCGAGCGUUGUCCGGAUUUAUUGGGCGUAAAGAGCUCGUAGGCGGUUCGAUAAGUCGGAUGUGAAAUCUCCACGCUCAACGUGGAGGGGCCAUUCGAUACUGUCGUGACUCGAGUCCGGUAGGGGAGUGUGGAAUUCCCGGUGUAGCGGUGAAAUGCGCAGAGAUCGGGAGGAACACCAAUAGCGAAGGCAGCUCGCUGGGACGUUACUGACACUGAGGCGCGAAAGCGUGGGGAGCGAACAGG
This 254-nucleotide ribosomal RNA is filed under the name uncultured bacterium. RNAcentral's name for it is "partial 16S ribosomal RNA". It matches the Rfam family "Bacterial small subunit ribosomal RNA", at positions 524 to 776 of the family's 1533-position model. The record is from RNAcentral.